UACGUAGGGCGCAAGCGUUGUCCGGAAUUAUUGGGCGUAAAGAGCUCGUAGGUGGUUCGUCGCGUCUGCUGUGAAAGUCCGAGGCUUAACCUCGGAUCUGCAGUGGGUACUGGCGAUCUAGAGUGCGGUAGAGGAGAUCGGAAUUCCUGGUGUAGCGGUGGAAUUCGUAGAUAUCAGGAGGAACACCGGUGGCGAAGGCGGAUCUCUGGGCCGUAACUGACGCUGAGGAGCGAAAGCAUGGGGAGCGAACAGG
RNAcentral lists this ribosomal RNA (253 nucleotides) under uncultured bacterium. RNAcentral's name for it is "partial 16S ribosomal RNA". It matches the Rfam family "Bacterial small subunit ribosomal RNA", at positions 524 to 776 of the family's 1533-position model. The record is from RNAcentral.